RNAcentral lists this ribosomal RNA (480 nucleotides) under uncultured bacterium. Its description in RNAcentral is "partial 16S ribosomal RNA". It matches the Rfam family "Bacterial small subunit ribosomal RNA", at positions 28 to 507 of the family's 1533-position model. The record is from RNAcentral.
GAUGAACGCUAGCGGCAGGUCUAACGCAUGCAAGUCGAGGGGGAAGUUACUUUCGGGUGACUGAGACCGGCGUACGGGUGCGUAACGCGUAUACAAUCUGCCUUUCACUGGGGGGUAGCCCGAAGAAAUUUGGAUUAAUACCCCAUAGUAUAUAGGGACGGCAUCGUUUUUAUAUUAAAGCUUAGGUGGUGAAAGAUGAGUAUGCGUUCUAUUAGCUAGUUGGAGAGGUAACGGCUCCCCAAGGCGAUGAUAGAUAGGGGUUCUGAGAGGGAUGUCCCCCACACUGGUACUGAGAUACGGACCAGACUCCUACGGGAGGCAGCAGUGAGGAAGAUUGGACAAUGGUCGGAAGACUGAUCCAGCCAUGCCGCGUGCAGGAUGAAGGUCUUAUGGAUUGUAAACUGCUUUUGUAAGGGAAGAAUAAGGGCUACGCGUAGUUUGAUGACGGUACCUUACGAAUAAGCAUCGGCUAACUCCGUG